UUGACCCUGGGAUCAGAAAAUUUGUUAUAGACCUAUUCAAGGCAGAACAGAGGCCAGAGACAAAGGACCAGAUCAUGAAAAUCCCUCUAAUGAUUCCAAAGGUUCCGCAGCAGCAAAAUGAUGAAGACUGUGGCAAUUUUGUCUUGUACUAUAUAAACCUCUUCUUAGAGAGUGCUCCUGAAAAUUUCAGCAUUUCAAAGGGAUACCCAUACUUUGUGAGUUCCUCUGUCUGAUACUUUGAUACCAGUUCCUCCUUACCUUUUAACAUAUCAGGAAUUUGUGUGGUCGUCAUUAUAAUGGGAUG
Molecule: unclassified non-coding RNA, 304 nt
Filed under: Hevea brasiliensis (rubber tree)
Lineage: Eukaryota; Viridiplantae; Streptophyta; Magnoliopsida; Malpighiales; Euphorbiaceae
Source: RNAcentral